This is a long non-coding RNA of Manis javanica (Malayan pangolin), 1830 nucleotides long. RefSeq lists it as uncharacterized. Lineage: Eukaryota; Metazoa; Chordata; Mammalia; Pholidota; Manidae. The record is from RefSeq and is a predicted model, not a curated record.
CUGUGCUUGCGCUCGGCUUUCCGCCUGGCCUUUCCCCCAGCGAGAGCCGCACUUCCGUUCCCAGAUUUUUCGCGGUGCCGGCGGCCAUACCCCUCCUCGGGGACUGGAGUUGGAGAGAACACAAGCGAAGAAAGCUCUUCCAGUGGGGUCCUCCAGUACCAACGCGUUCGGCGCUGUGACUUGGACUAGCUUUCUGUGUAGCUCUCACAGCCGUAUCACCUGUGUUUUUAAUUUACCGUCGCAGAGUAACGAACUGUUUCCUUGUCUGUGUAUAGGCAGUGUUUGUUGUUCACUUGCUUUUCCUGUAGCCGGGUUCGCAGCACAGAGAUUUAGAACCGGCGUGGGUUUACCCCAUUCCUGCUACUGGGAGUGGGACUCGAUCAUGUGAUCUUUUGGGACUUGAGUUUGAGGGAGUUGAGAUAUUUCAAUUUACUGCUUGGUGAACCAGCGCUCCAGAGGAUCUAACAACCAAAAGGUGGCAGAGCCAGGAAUGUGUCUGACUGCUCACCACAUUGACUGUUCCGCGAGAGGGGGAUCAAGAGUGGCCAGAGGGAAAUGGCAGGAAGUCGAGGCUGAAAUGAGAAGUACAGAAAGAAAGAAGAGAGGUUUCUGUUUGAAGCUGCAGUGAAAUAGGGAGUCCUCCACUGCUGAGGAAGUCUUUCAGUUUCAAAUAACAGAAAAUUCAUUGAAAAUUGGCUUAUUGCAUGGGAUUUAAUGACUCACGGAACUGAAAAGCACAACACCACGAUGAUUUCACAAUGACUUCCAUCUUGACUUACACUUUUAAAAGUCUUCCCAGUACGUCAAAAUGGGCCCACAGAUUUUCUUUAAGACCUCUGAGCUGUUCGUCCCAGCUACAAGCUGCCCCAGCUGUCCAUACCAAAUCGAAGAAAACCUCAGCCAAACCCAAUAUAAGGAAUAUUGUCGUGAUGGAGGGCAUUCGCAUUCCAUUUUUACUAUGAGGCACUUCCAGUACGAGUAAGAAUCUGAAUCUUUAGCAGCAGGAAAGUGAGGACAGAGGAUCCUCCUUGUACUUAGCAGCUGCACAGUAGGAAGAGAGACUUCCAUCAAGAAUGCUACCUUCCUUUUGUCUAGGAAGAUGGAUCUGUUGCCAGCCCCUCAAAGAUCUGUGUUAAACAACUGGGGUGGAUCACUGUCUCUGGGCCACCCAUUUGGAGCCACUGGCUGUUGGCCGGUCAUGGCAGCUGCCAAUAGGUUAUGGAAGGAAGGAGGCCAAUAUGGCUUAGUGGCUGCCUGUGCAGCUGGAGGGCAGGGCCAUGCUAUGAUAGUAGAAGCUUAUCCAAAAUAAUAGAUCAAGAAGAGGCAACCUGAAUUUCUGUGUAACAUUCACGCUAGGCAAUGCCAUUUCAGUGCAAUACUAAAGGAGAUCUAUAGUUUCUAGCUCCUCUGAGGAAAACAAAUUUAUGGCCUUCUGGUAAACACUCUGCAGUAGCUUUGCUGGUUUCUGAGCUUUCCAAUAAUCACAGCUUACUGCUUUCAGGGAUUUCUUAGUCACUGGAAUCUCACCCAGUGAUACGCUGAAGCAAUCGCUUUUGGUCUCUCUUUUCAUUAAAGGCUUAGUGAGUGGUUGCAGCUUGGGAAAGAAGUUAAUUAGAUUUGGAAUCAUCUUUGUAACAUUUGCAAAUUAUGCUCAUUCCUAUUUAUUACCUAAAGAUAAGUGUUUUCUAGAAAAUACACACCAGUGUGCCUACAUGAACUUAAGUAUGGAAAGAUAAUUUAGAAUCUAAACAUGACUGAAAACUUAACAGUAAAUGUUUACAUACAUAAAUACCAUGUUUGUUAACCUUAAUAAAAUGGAAAAGUAUUGGA